CAACAGCCGCGGGAAUACGAAGGGUGCAAGCGUUACUCGGAAUUACUGGGCGUAAAGCGUGCGUAGGUGGUGGUUUAAGUCCGUUGUGAAAGCCCUGGGCUCAACCUGGGAAUUGCAGUGGAUACUGGGUCACUAGAGUGUGGUAGAGGAUAGUGGAAUUUCCGGUGUAGCAGUGAAAUGCGUAGAGAUCGGAAGGAACAUCUGUGGCGAAGGCGACUAUCUGGGCCAACACUGACACUGAGGCACGAAAGCGUGGGGAGCAAACAGGAUUAGAUACCCGCGUAGUCCCUGUCUCUUAUAC
Molecule: ribosomal RNA, 301 nt
Filed under: uncultured bacterium
Lineage: Bacteria
Description: partial 16S ribosomal RNA
Rfam family: Bacterial small subunit ribosomal RNA
Source: RNAcentral